Long non-coding RNA from Lolium perenne, 7968 nucleotides. RefSeq lists it as uncharacterized. The record is from RefSeq and is a predicted model, not a curated record. Lineage: Eukaryota; Viridiplantae; Streptophyta; Magnoliopsida; Poales; Poaceae.
GAGCCCCACGCCGCCCUCCUCUCUCUCAUCUGAUGUAAACUACACGCGACCUCACAAGACAUGCCUCCGUCUUCCUAUCCCCCUAGUCUUCUUCCUCUCGUCCGUUGUGGCCGACUCCCGGACCUCAUCGCCAUCGCUGCGCCGCCUCCUAUCUCUGGCCUCCUCCACCACCAUGGUGUCCUCUACAUCAUCAUCCUCGCACCAGCAUCCGCCUCUGUGGCAGGGCACCGACGGGCGAGGCGAAGAGGUCGCACGCGUGGCCAUGGCGAGGCGGCGGGCGAGUGUCGAGACGUCAGCGAGAUUCUUGAGGCGGUUGAUUUCCCCUGUGUCCAGUAGAGGCCUCCUCUGCUCCCCCAUUCCCCGCGCUCCCUCCUCGACAGGGAGGCGCUGAAUCGAGGGUCCACAAGGAUGCCAUGACCUGAGCGCGUUGCAGCGCCGGUGAGUUCCCAAUCCCGGUAAUCUCGCAGGCCAGAUUGAAGCCCACCGAGGUUGCCCGUCGCCGCAGCCAAUCUCGUCCACUCCAGGGAGGUCGAGCCAGCAUCACCAUGCUUCAUGAUGAUGCGUCGGGAGCUCAAAUACAGUCACUUCUGCAGAAGCCAUGUCGAACUGACAUCAAGUUCGGGAAAGGAGUGGAUGAUCCAGGUGGACUAAAAACGCAGGACUCGUACUGCUACAAACAUGCAUGCUUAUCUCUUAUAGAAAUUUCGUCUGACUAUUAUUAAAAUCAUUUGUUUGGACUUCUUGGAUUCUCUGAUUUUUUUGGAGAAUCCAACAGUUUGUUCAGAAUCAUUCUAUUUUGUUCUUACCCUAGCCAAUCAUUGUAUGCCUUGGUAAUGUUUCAUGUGCUAAUCCUACAAUUAAAUGACACCCAACUUUCAGUUGGGUGGCACGCAGGUGAUAGCUUCACCAAAAUCGUAUAGACAUUCUUGAUCUUGUUUUGUUGUGUUUGGGUUGGCUGAAAAAGAGUGAGUUCCUGUUUCAAAUCAAACCACAAUUUAAUCUGGCUUUACAUUUGUUUCUAAUGAUGUUGUGUUCUUUAAUUGUUUAGGAAAUGCUCGAGUGAAAAAUACAUGUAUUGUGUUGUGUAACCAUCUUUAUAUUGUGGCUGGAUGCAUGGUACUUGACUGGGCAACUUGAGUGACUCUAGAAAAAGAACCUUGAGUGAGCAAGUAAUUUACACUUUCCCAGAUUACAUGCCUGUUGUGAUACUGACCUGGUUGCAUGGUUGAUUGUUCAUAAUUUCUUAUACAUGUUACCAUGCUUUGACAUUUUGUUUCCAUGCUCCGCUAGGUAAUACCAGUUAGGGGAAUGAACAAGCAUAUGUGUCGAAAGCUCAUGUACUGUUGUUACAAAUUUCCGGACAUUGACUGAAUUGGCCUAGAAGGAAGCUCGCGCCAAGACUUACUGCACCUAUAUCAUUGGUUCAGAUGCUGAAGAUCUGCGGAAGCAGGAACCGAGUGCCAUUCUUCCUGCUCAGGAGAAACAAACCAUCAUAAAAAUAGCUUUAGGGAAUGUAUAUGAACUUCGUAAUUAUUUGUUAUGGGAGGAUUUUCUCAUUAAAGGAUAUAUAUGUGAUAAACUACUGACACCUACUACCGCUGUUUUGGUAGUUCUAUGUUGCUAUCCAAUUGCAAUUUGACUUUCAUCGGGAAAAUUUCCAACUUUGGAAUUUUCUUGUUAUGUUUCCCACCUUCCAUGUCUCACUUGAUACGUAUACUACUGUGGUUUCUAAUGUAGUUGACAUGAGUAUUCCAGUUUAAAUACACUGCUUUGUGAACUUGGUUAACAUUUGUUUCUUUGAAUAUUUGUUUGUACUCUUUAGUUUUUCGCACAUUUGUAUUCUCUAGAUGGUAUCAUUUGUAGCUAUUAAUCAUGGAAACAUAAUUUGGAAAAUGACUUUGUCAUAUUAAACGAUGCAACUACCUUCUCCAUUCCUUAUAGUGGGAUAUUUGACUGCUCCUCCAGUAAACAAUGCCAUUGCACAACACAGUCACAAUUUGUUUUGAACCAUGAGAGAGAGGGGCUCCAUCAAGUUCAUCCUUGUACUGGACACUUGUUCCAGUUGCUAAUCCUAGAGUUACUGAUUUUCGUUUCCGCUCUUCCUACCACCUUGCUCUUUGAAUAUGGGGUUUUCCUUUUAAUCAUAUGUCAAUGGCUCUAACUAGCCUCCUUCACAAUCUCCUGGGAAUAUGGACAGAGGAAGAAAGCCUACCAGAAUAGCGGUUGCGAGCAUUCUUCAUCCGCUGAUCUAACACUGCCACCUGGUGCUGGCUUUUGCAUAGGUACCCUUCAUGAGGCAAGAUAUUGGUACGUAUUUUCCAGUUGCUGAAAUGAAUACAGAUAAUAUAUAUCUGCAAUGUUUACAAAUGGACUCUGACAGAGACAGACUGCUUAUAGGUGGGAUUCCAACUAAAAUGUCAAGCCAUAGGCCAUAGAUAUUCCCUACUUGCAUGUUCCAUGUAACACGCUUGCUUUUAUGUUCCUGAUCUAUUGUAUGAAAAACAGGCUUGGUAAAUAACUUGUGAAAUUGUAACCCUGGACAUCUGAAAUGGUACGACUGCAUGCAUGCUAUUAUAGCUGACUACAUCAAGCAUUUGUACACACGACUUGAUAAAAACAGUGCAUAACUAAUCUGCAUAAUCAUGACGUUGAGAUUGAUACACAAUUAAUAGCUUUCCAUGUGCUAAAGUAAAACAUGAUACCUUGACAUCUUGAGUCAGGUACACUGGGCAUCAAGGUGAACGAUUGGGUUGUCACUUUCCGGUGAGGAGGCGCUCCAAGGGGCGCCCCAACUACUAGUUCUCACAAAGUGCAUAGAAGCACGUGCUAAAGUUGACUGUUGUAUGCGAGCUCACUCCUUUUCUCUCUCCACCUCUCUCACCUCCAACUAGAUAAAAAUAUAUAAUUUUAAUUUUUAUAGCCAGCUGAUUAGGAUUUACAGCAUUGUACUUGGUCUAACCUUCUCCCAUCACUACACUUUAGCAAGCCAACAAGCUCCAAUAAAGCAGCCAAUUAUCUUUGUAGGGGGCAUUCCCAAGAAGGAUGCUGCUCCUAUAUUUUAUUCAACUCCAACGGCUCUCAUAGAUGUUAGAUGCUAUAUAGUAUAUACAUAUUUCACACACCUAUAUAUUUGCCAUCAUAGGUGCACCCUUGGACUGCCAGCAAUAUCAUUGUUAAUUUCUAACUACAUCCUUAGCAACGUAAAAUCGAUGAGAUCGCAAUAAACUCUAUAAAUAAUAAAAUAUUUACUUUAAACUCGUACAAAACCACGGAUGUUUUGAAGCUGUAGCUCGAGGGUCGAAUCUUUGGCACAUGUUACAAACAUGGAUUGUUCCCUAGCUCGUCCUUUUUAUCCGCAUAAGAGUAAUUGGAGUUUGGAUAUGCUCAGCUGCGCUACACAAGAUAAAUAAUAAUAUUUCCUAAAUCCAUAGUACCCGUCAUGACCUUUGAAGUUGGCGAAGUAUGAGAACAAGUUUUAGAAAUAUUGAAGAAAAAUGUUUAACAUUUUAAGGAAGGAGCAUUAGACAUUGCAUGUUGUGCAACAUUACGUACUCACACACUCUCGUGAAGGGACCUCAUACCUACCUAUUAUUAUACUAUAUUAUAAUCUAUAUAAAAGUUGAUCAAAGUACCGCAUCCCAUAUCAAUCUGGCCACUGUAGAUAGGCUAUUUAUCCUCUCAUCUCUCCAGUAAUAGCACGACGUGUGGCUUUCUCCUUUAUGGUUUGCUCAAUUUUUUCCGUUGGAUUUUUUACAGUGCUGAUUUUGUGGACUGGGAGGUUACCGGCUACCGGUUGGUAGGCUAUUCCGUCUGUAUCAUCUGUCCCGGUAGCCCUCCCACCUUCCAUUCGCUUAUGUAUUUGGUUUGGCUUAGUCAAAGCGGUGGUACACCUCACCAUGGAAAUAGGGAUGGCACCCACAGGGUAUGGAUGCGGGUGGAGCCACCCCAUACCUGUACCAUCGCCUUUAAUCUCACCCGUCACCCAUACCCAUACCCGUCGACGGGUACAACUUUUUCCCAUACCCGUCACCCGGGAGGGUAAAUGGGUACCCGCGGGUAAAAAAUACCCAAGUUUAAAGCACAUUAAAUUGUUCACAAAAUACUCGUCGACCAAAAAAUAUAUAAGCAUAAUUUAUAAACAGCGUCACAUAGUAAUCACAUUAAGUUCACAAACUCACAAAAUAUAGAGGUAAUUUGACUUUACAUAAGGCCACAAAUAAGCAUUACUGUGUACUCUAUCAUUACUCUAAUGAGCAUUAUAACCUAGUAUUGAAUUAUAACCUAGUACUGAAUUAUACAAUUAGUCCCGUAUAACCUAGUACUGAAUUAUACAAUCAGUCUAUGUAUGACUAAGCGUGGAACUGACUACUGAUCAAUCAGGCAAAUCAACACAUUGGCAAACUUUUUUUUUAUCUCACCCACACAUGCAGCAAGUAUAUUCAGGUGACGGAGAUGGAGAGCACCAUCAGGCGACGGGGUCGGAGAUGGAUUUGGGGUCGGAGUGCCAUGCUCCUGGCCAUGGUGGUCACCGUCCUCCGGCUCAAUCGUCGCGAUCUGAACUGCAUCUCUUGAUUCGCGCUGUCGAUAGCAUCCAUGGCGUCAUCGCGUGCAAGUCUACAAGGCCAAAUAGACGAUAGUCAGUAUCGGAGGAGGAGGCCAAGCUGGAGGGGGCGGUGGUCUGAGCGGCCAAACCUCGACUAGAGGCACCGGCGGCCUCGCGCUGACCCUGGGGGCGGCUUAGCGUGACUCGUUUCCAGGAGAGCUGGAGAGGAGAUCGAUCUAGACGUGAUACACUGAUAUGUACGUGAAUAUGAUCAGCCUUAGAGCAUAGUCCAUGCGGUAAUCAUGGAAGAGGAGGUCAAACAAUAAUUGCCUGAGAUCAUGCAUGGAAGAGUUAUUAGUGGGAUUCGUUUUUUGGUUUUUUUGGUACGUUAGGAUACUAUUACCAUUAUAUGAAAUCCACAUGUCAGCAUGUUGGACGGGUAUGUGGGUACACGGGUACGGGUUGUACCAUCCCGUACCCAUACCUAGUCUACCCUAUGGGUAUGGGUACCCAUUGGAAAUAUCUAGCAGAUUAGAUUCGUGAUUGUUCCGAUGAAUUCGAGAGCAUCUCCAUCCAAAGCGGCCGUCACCAACGCAGCGCCGCACCGAACGAGGCCUCACCCAUCUUCUUCUCCUCUUGGCCCGUGUGGUGCCUCUUCCAGAUACGAUCUUGCCCGUAUAAUUUCUCUACAAAAUCUGUUUGGAGGAGCUACGAGGGCGACCUCCUCCUUCCGAAACUGCUGCCUACCGGCUACCGUGGUAUCUUCCCCGCCCCAAAUCGCCCCACACCAUGACUUCACCAAGCCGAGCUCCUCCUUGACGGCGGCCAUGGCCGUGGUCGGUUCAUCCCCUUCCUCUCUGUCUUGGUCGUCCUCGAGGUGGCCAGGUCGUCCAUCCCUGCUGCAGUUCCUCGCGGUAGCUGGUUGACCACGUCAACCUCUCCUGCGUGAUCUUCGGCAGGUGCAGCGCCAGCGCAAAUCUCGCGCACGGCAGAUGGCAUCGCGGCAAUCCAGAGGUUCAUGAACCUUACCUGGAGGUUCAUCUUCCUAGCCUCGCUGGGCGGGAUGACCCGCUCGUGGAUCUGUUCGGCAAAGAAGAUGCACUUUGCUCUGGCCAAAAUCCUGUGCGCCGGGUGCUGCCGUGUGGAGCAGAGUCACGCCUUCAGAUGCCAAUCCCCAUAUCCAACUCUUCCCAGUGCUAUGUCUCCUCUUGCUGUUCGUCAGCAAGAUCGAUGAGGGAUUCGAGGGAUCUUCUGCAUGCCGAUGAAGCAUGCCGAUCUUGGACGGCGACGACCUGCGACUGAUGACAAGAAGCAGUUGGGUCGUUCUCGGCGCCACCGUGCGGUGCGGACGCGAUUACAUGUCACUGCUAUAUUUCAGGUUCUCUGCUCUUCUUCAUGAUUGAUGUAUUACUAGGUCUUUUGGAAGAUUGAAGGGAACAUGGAGUUGCUCUUAUGGUUAGGGAAAGUGGGACAUACAGCUGUCGCUACUAAAUGACGUAUCGCCUCGACGAUUCCAAUGGAAGAUCUUCGUGCGUAUUUCUUGGAUCUGGGAAUUCAACGAUCAGCAAACAAGACAGAAUGUACAUGAACUAUACUACAUUGUUGUACACCAUGAGGUAUUCUUUCAUGAUCUUGGGCGCUAAAUCUGUCUUGGUUUGAUUACCAAUCGGUAAAUAUAUUGUACUAUCUUACUUUAUGUCCAUUCUCUUUUGUGCUGAUUUUUUUUUUACUCCUGAUAAUCUAAGGAAGUCGAAGUUGUAGACACUGAUCACUAAUAUUUUUACACCUGUAAUUUCCCUUCAGUAUGAAUAGCUAUUGGCAUAGCACUACUUCUAAACCUAUGUUUGUUACUUUGUAUAAUUGAUUUUUAUCUCACUGAUAUCAUUAAUGAAUAUUUUUCACAAAUACUAAUCCAUCAAUAUACCCAACUUCCCGAGCCAUAUUUUGCAUAAAGUUCAUAUUAAUCAGCAUGAAUAAGGUACCCACAUGUUCGUACUUCCUCUGCAGCCCCCCUUUUUUCCUUUCGGACACAGUUAAUACUAAAAUUUUGUUUACAUCGUAAAGAAUCUCAACAGAGUGGCGCAUACCAGCCAACCGUAUAGAGCUAGAUUUGUCAUGCCUUUAAGAUUUUUUCCCUCGGACACAUUGGGAUGAAACAAUUGAAUUGCAUCUGAUCAUGUAUAUCUUUUUUGGAUUAUAUAUAAUGUAAUCUUCAAACUGCUGAUGAGAUCUGUCUUUUCCCUCUUUGGUGUGUGUGUGUGUGUGUGCGAAUGGCCAAUAGAGAUAUGUAACUCUGUGCAUGGACAGUAUGAAAUCCUACAGUUAAUGUAUUUUAUUAUCCUUAAGUAAAUAAUCCAACCUUUGUGUUCAGCAUGCUGCAUUUCUGUUGCAAAACAAUGAAGUCUAUCAUGUGGUGUGGAGACGGGUAUAUGAGCCUAAUCUAGGAUCAGCAUAUAGAGCUAAAAAGAUGUACAGUACAGGACCAGCAGGCCGAUCAUGGUUCCUGCUAACAAAGUCCGGGCCAUAGAUACCAUCCUACACAUGAGAACUAGAAGCUUGCAUCAGAUUCCAAAGACUAUAUGUUAUCGUCCUUUGUGUGUUUCUUUCCCUUCAUUUCCCGCGAAUUACAGUAAACUGCAGGUUUCGUGCAGAAUUAAGGGCAGGUUAAAUUAAUAGUGGCCAUUGUACAAUUACUGUUUUUUUUUCUUUCCAUGGUUCGCUUUGUACUGUGGCUAUCAAGUGUCCUGACCCUUUUUGUGCUCCGCUUUUUCUGUCGGGUAUAUUAGGAUGGCUGGCCUUCAAGUGCAGGUGCAAAUGUUACCAGUAUGGUGCGAGUGUUUGUUCUCUUGGCCUCUUGCGAUAUUUGGUGGAUGCAUACUCUGUACUUGAUUGGUUAAAGUUUUCUUUGUUUGAUAUUUUGUUCCAGGAUGCACUCUCUCAUGAAGGAAUCAAAUUUCAUAUGCUCAUGAAGAAAGUCUAGGCGCUUUCUUCUGAAGUGGUAUUGCUUAUCUGAAAUGUUGCAUUCCCAGAUCGAGCAAUUGCAGGAUCAGGGCCAUAUUCAGGUUCUUAACUGAAGCCUCCUGCGGCUGAUGGUCCCAGAUCCUCAAGCCUCAACACUUGGACUAUCUGUAAGAGAUGGUGUAUUCCCAGGCACGGUGGACUCAGUAUGGAUAAAAUACUUACACUCUACUUCAUGUACUCUUCUAUCUGAUGUGCUGACAACUACCUGUUUUAGUUCUAAUCUUUGUGAUGUGUGCGUGUGUAUGUCCCUGCAUUAAAUAAGUAUAUUGUAAGUUGCGCUUAACUAGCCUACUGCCUUCACAGUAUUUGUUCUUCAGUUUUCAGUUACCAAUCGACCACUGAUGGGUAAUUUCACUGAAAUGAACGAACUGAAAGUGUUUAGGGUGGAAAAACUAUUUUCUUCU